UAGGGAUUUGCUUUGCUUUAUCUUUAUCGUUGCUUUGCUUUUUGAGUCUUUCUGUGCUGAACUUGGUUGGUUUUAUCGUGUUGGAUUACUUAUCAUGGUUGUGAGACUGUUUUAAUCAUAUGGUGUGAGACAUAUGCUAUCCCUAAAUUAUCCUUAUUAUUAUCUUCUUAUCUCCCCAUAUGAUAGCCGUGAGUUAAUUAUCUUGUACCCCUAUCUUCAUGCUCACAUGAUAUAACUUGCUUCUUCACUUAUUAUUGUAUUAGGUCAUUGCAAGGAGUAUCAGCUUAUGGUUUCUAGGGGGAGUUCUAUCCUUGGACUAAGUGCUAUACCUUUCAUAGCACUAUCCUUAAAUCAUGCACUUAUCCAAGGGGAGCCAGUCCUUGGACCAUAGACUUUGGGUUUGCUGUUAUAUUCAGUAUUCUUUCUUUUGUGCAAAUCCGGUAUUGUCAUCAAUUCACCAAAACGGGAGAGAUUGUUAGGGCAUAUUUAUGCCUAAGUGAUUUUGGUGAUUGAUGAAAGUACCUCAGUGGACUAAUCGUGUGCAUUGAGCAUUUCAGAUAAU
Molecule: long non-coding RNA, 562 nt
Filed under: Hordeum vulgare
Lineage: Eukaryota; Viridiplantae; Streptophyta; Magnoliopsida; Poales; Poaceae
Description: long non-coding RNA (HVUL_LNC013818)
Source: RNAcentral